UUUGCAUUUGUUUUUUUUGUUUUUUUAUUAAUUUGUUGUUUUUUUUUCAGAAAAAAAAAAAGAUGUUAAAUAAACUAAAUAAAUGACCAGCAUAGAAAUAAUGCUAAGUUGUAACCAACAAAAUUUUGCAAAAUUGAAAAACAAAGAGACUACAACUCAACUCAGUAAUACAAUAAUUGUAAACAAAACUAUCUACAUAUACCAUGCACUCUCUGGAAGGAGUUCCUGCAUUAUAGACUUAAUUCAAAUAAAUACAGAAACCUUUGGAGGAUUGUAUAAAUAUAUUUCCUAUUUCAGAAGGACAGGGAGGUAAAUUCAGAAGAAUAGAAUUGAAGUCCUUCACAACAGCACACAAUAUUUCAGAAGUAUCAUCAACACCCCUCCCCAUCAAACCAGUAACAUUGGAAUUAUCUUGUCUGUUUAAAAACAAACAAACCUGGUACUGACAGAGAAAUAAGUCAUAGAUCUGUAAAUAUACUUUUAAUAACAAUAUUUUAUUUGGCAAAAGGAUAUCAUGUCUCUAAUUAUUAAUACAAGAUGUCACCUCUAAGGUACUACUCUGUGGCAAGUUAGAGGGAGGGAGAAAAAAACACUCUUGAUUGUGUGUAUGUGUGUGGGGGAGGGAUGCUUCACAAAUUUCUGCCAAACAUAAUGAGCACAAAUUCUAAGUUGUGUAUUUGUUUUGCUUAUUCUGCAAUCCUGCUCAAUGUACAUCCACUUAUGGAAAAGGGUCAAAAAAUGCUAAAACAAAUUGUUUUAAGUCAAUAUACAAGGGUUACACACCAUCUGACAACAGGUAUGGACAAAAAAAUAAUUAAUUAAAAUAAACAAAACUUAAAAACUCUAUUCUAUAGCACACAGGCUGCUGUGAGAUACAUGAAGAAGUAACACAGGUCUUGCUGAUUGUUCAAAAAAUAACAUUGAAGAGUUGGUUUGACCACAACAACACAGAUGCAGAGUCUCUGUUCACAAGAUAUACAUAGAUAUAUAUAUAUACAUAUAUAACAAUUACGACUCUGUUAGAUUAUAAAUGUAUAAUGACACAUCUUAAUUUUUUUUUUUAAGCUGAAAAAAAUUAGAAAAAAAUAAUAUACAGGAAGCACAAAGAAUUCCAAUCCUCAAAGAGAAACACUAAUUGGACAUAAAAGUUCAGGAGGGGGGGAGAAUAAGAGUUGACAAACAAGAAACAACGAAACAAAUGUUAUCACAAGAGCAGUUGACAUGACUUUACAAUGGUGCAUAAUUAUAACUUUUUUUGAAUUAGGAUGGCUGCUGUAGUGAUGUCAAGGAAGGGGAGGGGCUAUUAGAACUCAAGAAAUAUCUGAAUAUGUGAAUAAACUUAUGGUUACAUUUUUAUUCUAAUUAUUCUAGUGGGUAAUCAGUUCAUCUGAAACACAAUUAUUAUUUUCAAGUUCUGUCCACUUUAAAUGCUAAACAGUAAAAUAUAUCGUAUCUAAAACACAAUUAUUAUUUUCAAGUUCUAUCCACUCUAAAUGCUAAACAG
Molecule: non-coding RNA, 1504 nt
Organism: Biomphalaria pfeifferi
Lineage: Eukaryota; Metazoa; Mollusca; Gastropoda; Planorbidae
Source: the annotation of a GenBank genome assembly